RNAcentral lists this ribosomal RNA (117 nucleotides) under Myxococcales bacterium. Lineage: Bacteria; Pseudomonadati; Myxococcota; Myxococcia; Myxococcales. The record is from RNAcentral.
UCCGGUGGCUAUUGCGAAGGGGCCACACCCGAUCCCAUCCCGAACUCGGAAGUUAAGCCCUUCAGCGCUGAUGGUACUGCCUGGUUACCUGGGUGGGAGAGUAGGUCGUCGCCGGAU